CACAGGCUGGCUCUUCUGGAAUGCACAGUGGGGAAUCAAACUCCCAACAUCUGCUCUACAGUCAGAUGCAAUCACUAUUACCAGGGAUUAGACUAUAUAAGUACAUAAAUGGAUAGAGUGAUGGACUGGGACUCUGGAGAAGGGUUCAGAUCCCAACUUGGCCAUGGAAGCUGACUGGGGGAGUGGAAUUGGUUAAAACACUGCUUAAAUAACUCACCUUGAAACCCCUAUUGGUCAGUUCAGACUUGAAAGUACAAAACAGACACAAAGUACAUAAGCGGGCAAGUGCAGAACCUGCUUAGGACUCAUUUCUACAAGUGUUCAGCCUGUCCUUCUAUCUAUUUCAGCUGUACUCCAUGUGAACUCAGGAACUCUGUUGCGUGCAGGUAUUAGCACAGGCUAGUUAGACCUUAUUGUUUCUGCUGUGGUCAUUUCCAAACUGUUUUUGUACGUUGGCUUGGUUCUUUGUUUUUUUUCCCAAUAAUCCCCUCUUUAAUCUGGCUUUCCCUCCCCUAUUUCUUCAAGAAAUUUCUCCAGAGCUUGCGCCUUUAUUCAGAAUGUGGGUUGGAGAGUUGAUCCUAAAUCCACCCUGGAUGCCUUGUUGCCCAACAUAGCUAUUUAGUGAGGUGGUGGUUCUGCCCUUCUGUGCUGGUUUUAGCUCUGAGGAUUAAGUGCCUUGAGACAGCUGACUCCAUUUAUUCUGUCAGGCUUUCCUAAGUGGUAAGGAUCCUUAGAGUGCAACAGGAAGUGAACUGUGGGACCUCCUUUGGUCCAGGCCCAGCUUGGGCAGCUCAAGCUGAUCACCUCAGGAAGUAAACUGUAAGCAUUGGGGAGUUUGACCUUUCACAGACCUUUUCUCCCCAGUGUCUUCACACACAAAAAAUGGAAGCAAGCAUAAGUGAUAUGGCUGAAAGUAGUCUGAGUCUGGGGGAGAACAGUAUCAUUCUUACCCUAAUGGAUGAACAACCACAGUGGAUUCUUGAUCCUGGAAGCUUCCUAGGAGCUGCAAUUCACAUCUGCAUAUGUCUCAUGCCCUCCCUCUCCACACACUAUCAAGCACACAUACUCAUUUUUCCAAAAGCAGAAGUGGAUACCAAGUUAUUUCUUGAUUAUUUUGUUGUUGUUGUCGUUGUCAAUUGGGAGCAUUCGUGGUUGUCCACACAGCCCCCAAAGCAUCCCGGAGGGGACAGAAAGUUUGUUCCUAGACCCCCCCCCAACUUUGAAAAUCCCUCUUUUAAAUGAAUGAGAGUCAGAAAUACUUGCCAGCACCAUCCAAAGCACCCAGAGAUCUACAGUACCUUCAGAACUCCCUUUGCCUCAUCCUUAUUCAAGUCUAUGACCCUGACUUUUAAGAUAGGUAUAAGGAACAUCACUAGUUUUGGAUCUCAGAGCUCCAGCCUACCACUGGCUUUAGCAUCUCACUAUAUUAAUUCUUCUAAGAGUUUAUUUUCCUACCAUUGCCCGUGUCAAUAGACUAAGAUCCAGUGAUUAGCCAUAAUCAAUACACAUAGGACCAGGCUCCUACUUUCGCUUCCAGCAAUCUAUUGCCCAUGUGCACUGGUGAUAUCCACAUACAAACAUGUUAGUACUGGAAGUGAUGGGCAAGAGGACUCGCCCUACAAUCCUGGACACAUGGAGAGAGGGCAUCUUCCUGGAAGUCUUAAGGCACUAUUAUAACAUGGGUCUUUCUGAUAUAGGUUGGCCUAUUGACAUAAUUUCCUCUACACAUUUCUCAGAUGACGGUCCCAGUGGUUUCAAUGGGCUGUGUUUCGGUGGAAUGUUUACUUUUAUAAUCCAGACCUCUUUUCUUCUUCUUUAAAGGGGAUUUAGCUAGGAAAAUGCAUUGCUAAGGGACUGGCUAUUUUUAUCAUAUUGAUAUAUUUGUUACAAUUAUAUCACUCCUUUCUUCUAUGAUAAAACGCAAUGGACGGUAUUCUUGAGUGUCCCAGAUGGUCCCUAUCCAUAUAUUGGUUAACCACUCACCACAAAAAGAUGUAUGCCCAUUUCCUGUAAUUCAGUGGACCUUGCAACUCUGUUAUACAAACUCGUCACAUACAGAUGACCACUUCACAUGGAUACAGCUGAAGAUAUUCAGAAGGUAAGCUUGGAAAGAAGAGUGGCCUGCUUUUUUAAGAAGAAGACAGAAGAAAGAAAGAAAAGAAACUGAUGUGGCAGAAAGAGUUUUGAAAAUGUUCCCAUUAAGUCAUGCCUCUCCGAAAAUGCAUAAAGUGCUAAUUGGGUAGGGAUUUGCCAGUGCAACUGAACACAGAACAUCCUCCACUGCAGCAUUUCAAGUGACGUCCAAUGAUAUGAAAUCUCUGGAAAAGAGUACCCUGCUCUGUGACAUCUGUUUCACUGAUAUAAAAUAACAUGAUUUUAAAGUCUCUGAGUGCUGAUCGUUAAUGGAGGAACCUAAACCACAGAGCUCUACGUACUCUCUGUGUUUCAAUAAUCUCCAAGGGUGAAAUAUGAUCCUUACAAGAAAAGACCCCACACCUUAUUGCAAAAGGGAGGAAGUCAAAUAUUUAAGAUCAGGACACUGCAAAGACGUGGAAGUUAUGACCAAAAUCCAACUGCUGGUUCAGCAGAAUAGACCCAUUGAACCAUUCAGUCCCUGAAUCAAUUGGUCUAUUCUAAUUGGAGCCAACACUGGGAUUUCAGUCCAUAUAAAAUAAUUAAAUGCCUUGAUACAUGUUAAGAUUUUUCUUAGAAUUUGGAAGGCUGGACUUAAGAGAUCACUUAUGGGGCAUUAAUGGCCAAGUGUCUUCCACCUGGAAUUCUAGCUUGGCUGGAGGAGCCUUCGACAUGAUUUUAAUCCAGCUGAGUGUGGUGCAUUUUAUAAUUUAUUUAACUAGCAGGAAUCCUCUUGACAAUCUGUGUGUGCGAAAGCAAACUACAAGAAUAUAAAUUCUUCAAGGCAGCUAGAGUUUAAUUUUUGGAAGCAAUUCCUACAUUUUAGAAAGAAAACCAGAGUUUAUUCUAUUUUAUUGAGCUCUCGGCAUUUUCAGUAAAAGUCAGAGUUAUUUCAACACCAAAGGUAGCUACAAGUGGGAAAGUGAAAAAAAACUAAAUGCAGUGAGUGUCAGCAUACUGCAAUAUGUUUUUCAGAUCUCAUGGAACCAUCCACUUUUUGUUUGCUGCAGCUUCUUUCUGAAGUGCCUAACAUAAGGAGGAAUGUGCACAGGAACUGGCUCUCUCUUUCUGGUGCGGCCACAGAGGCCAUUAGGACCAACUCUUUGCCAUCAUAUCAGGAGAAGAAGAAUCUAUAAAUAAUCUCCAGUUUUACUUACUUCAUUGUUAUAUUCUAAAUGACCUUACGUAUGUGCUUUGGGAGCUGUGCCAGUAGAAAAACAAGUUAAAGACGCAACAAAUCCUUCUUCCAGCCCUAAACUUCAUGGGAUUUAGAUGACACAAUUUGUCACUCAGGAGAACAAAAAUACUGUACAAGGUAACACAGAAAUAGUGAUUGGCCAACAGACUUUGGAAACCUUUGGAAGUUUUGGAAAAGAUCAAGCCCCAUAGGCUACAAAGUGGCAAAGUGUGUGCCAUUUCCGAAACUACACUGACUUGUGUCCAAUAAGGCAGGAAGUAUGAAGCUGUUUGCCUCUCUUUGCAUGUGCAUGAAUGUUUAAUUGCAGUAGAUUCAAAGAAGGUGUGCUUGGAAUUAACUAUAAAAAUGCUCGUUUAAGGUAGUUAAAGGUUGCCGAAUCUACGGUUCCUCAGGGAAAUGAAGGGAUUUGAGAUCCAGGGAAUCUAAGGCCACUUUUACUUUGCUCCAGAAAGUUCCUGUUUUGGUCUCUGAUGAUGGCAAGACCCUCACAGGGCUAUGAAGGAGCCUCAUGGUGCAGUGGUUAAACCAUUGUACUGCAGCCAAAACUCUGC
Pogona vitticeps (central bearded dragon) is the source of this 3882-nucleotide long non-coding RNA. RefSeq lists it as uncharacterized. Lineage: Eukaryota; Metazoa; Chordata; Lepidosauria; Squamata; Agamidae. The record is from RefSeq and is a predicted model, not a curated record.